Molecule: small nucleolar RNA, 72 nt
Organism: Megalobrama amblycephala (Wuchang bream)
Lineage: Eukaryota; Metazoa; Chordata; Actinopteri; Cypriniformes; Xenocyprididae
Source: RefSeq, a predicted model, not a curated record
UAUGGAUGUGAUGAGUUAAUUACCGCCCCAGGCUGAAAAGUCAUGACUGAUUGGUAACCCCUCUGAUCCAUA